UAAGAGAUGCUUGUGGAGUUCCG
RNAcentral lists this non-coding RNA (23 nucleotides) under Rattus norvegicus (Norway rat). Lineage: Eukaryota; Metazoa; Chordata; Mammalia; Rodentia; Muridae. The record is from RNAcentral.